AGAGGCCACCAACACCCACACAUGCUCCGAAGCCAGUUUUUCCACAAGGAAUGCUCAUUGCAUUCAUCACUAGAAGAAAACUAGAAGGUAACAGAUAAACAAAGAAGAUAAAAAACCAAAACUCCCACCUCCUGGACAUAAUCACUGCUAACACUUGGCAUAAACAAAGACAGACGUUUCUUAAAGUCGGUCUCCCAGAGGCACUUGCACUGUACCAUAGUCUCUUAAGUCAGUGAUCCAGGACUGAGGUGGGCAGCUGGGUCAAGCCCUCUUAGGAAAUGCUGCUGAAAAUCCACCCUGAGAGGGUUUCAUUUGCAGGUGAAAACGUCUAUGUCCCUCUCUUUUUUUCAUCAGCUAUUUUCCAUUAAGUGCAAGGAAUUAUGCAAAGCUCUUUCCAGACAGUGUGCCUCAUUUCAUCCUUCCAACAAUGCUACGAGGGGAAGUCUAAUAUUUCCUCGAUGGUACUGCAGACCUGUAGUACAAGGUUUGAAAUAUAAAAAGUUGAGGAAAGAUACGAUUCACUCAGACUGCAGGAACUGGCUCAAGACAAGCUCUGGCACCCUGUGCAAUGCUGACGUCCUAAAUUUAGCCCUGAGGCUCUUCCUGCAUCAGGCCUGUGCCCCAGUGCACGGUCACCGCGGAGCAGCAGUCCUCUCAGCAAAGGCCCUACUGUGUGCCUUUGUGGGGGUGAAUUAAAACGCAUGAGGAGAAGGGCCUAUUACAGGAUGGAAAAUAUAGCUUAGGAACAUUUCCACUGUGGUACACGUGGGCAUUCUUGCAGAUGCUAUAUAGAUAGAGCAAUAAACAUUUAUUGAGCACCUGCGGUGUGCACUGCACCUUGCUAUAUGCCCAAGGGUUAUUCUUUUAUUUUUUUCUGCUUCCCUUUUAGAAGAGAUUUCCUACCAACUGACUAAAGCCCCUUAGAGCCAUCUCGCGCACACACAAAGCCCUCAGGAUUAACGUGGCUGAUUCUAGCUGCACUGGUGACUGACUGCCGUAAUCUUCUGAGAGGCUCGUGGGAGCUCUCUCAUGAGCCCCUGCUGUUGGCAGAGGUGAAAAUGUUUUUCCUCUUAGGAUUCUCCGCUUCUCUUGGAUUUCUCAUAGAGACGGGAAAACCCGGGGUUUACAGGGUAAACCCUCUCCUCUUUACCCAGGGCAUCUUCUCAGCCUCAGCCCUGCUCUCUGUCACCUGAGCUGUCCCCACAAACACACACAAUAAGCACACGGGGUCACAGCACACGGGCCAUUUCACCGCCGCAUGGCCGACAGCAGGGCUUGGGAGGAGGGCGCGAGGUCUGCUGGAGGAUCUGCUAUUUUCUCUGCCUGGCUCACAUCAACGGUUUACAGCUGGGGUAUGUUUCUGAGCUCCUGGCAGCAUUUCCUCUACAUCUGGGGUCAAAUGUUAACAGAGACUCCAUGAAAACAAACGAUAACCCUGGGUUUAGCCUGCCAUGCUUCAUUUCAGAGAACCCAGGGUCCUCCUCACUCAGGCCAGCACUGGGCCCCAUUAGGGGUAGAUUUACCCAUUUCUGAAUGUCGGUCCCACCUGAAGGAGGUGGGCUGAAGCUUAUGAUGGGAGGACAAAGGCUUGGGGGGGCCACACUCAUCAGAGGUGAGAGGCAGACAGAACUUCACAGCUCUUCUCUCCUGCCCAUCCCACCUCCACUGUGGCUUUCGUCACCAUACCUGGACAUGCCUCUGUUUCAGCAGCGUUUCGUAGCGGUUGGACGGCGGGUACGGAAUGAUGACUCCGUAAUUCUUACAUUCGGCCCUAAAACGUUUGUCCAGCAGGACGCUGCAAGGGGUGAGAGUGAGACAAGGCCAGUGAACAUGACCACCACUCACAUCUACUUCAGAUCAGAGCAUCAACUCACGAAGCGCCCCCUUCUAUAGUUUAAAUGUUAUUUUUUUCUGCUCUAGAGCAAAGGUCUUCAAAUGUUUUUCAGCCAAAAAAGCUCAGUAGGUGAAGUAGAAUUUUUAAGUUUAAGACAGGCUACACAAAAGUUGAGCUUCUUUUUCCCCCUUUUAUUCAUUUACCAGAAAAGCAACCAAGAGCAUUCCUGGUACAUCCCAGGAAACACUCUAGGCACCAGGGUUUGUACCCUCAUGGAGCUUACACUCUGGUGAAGACAGACUGAUGAUAAAUAAAGCAGAGGAAUGAAAUAAUUUCAGACAAUAGUCAAUAUCUGCAUAGUGUCUACCCUUCAUGAGGCGUGCGCGCACAAACACACACACACACACGUGUACACAGUCACUUUUUAAUCUGAAAACAACCCUAUGGACUAGAUGUGCUAUUACCAUCUUCCAUCUGAGUCACGGAUUGCAGAGUCAUGAGUGCUCUGAAAAUAAUCCAACAGGAUCAUUUGGUACGAGGAGGUCAGGGAAAGCCUCUCUAAAGAGGUUUUGUUGGACAGACACCUAAAUGUUAACACAGGGACGAUUCGGGUGAAGAAUCUUUCAGGCACAAUUAGCCCGGUCCAUGGAGAAAAGGAAAGCUGGCCAGUGUAGGUCAAGGGCAGGGCAUGCCGGAGAGCAUGGUGCAAAAACGACUUUAUGAAGUCAGUCUAGGGGCCAGAUCACUUGGGACUGUGGAAGCGACAGUAAAGAGGUAAGGUGUUUGCUAGAUGUAACUGAAGCCACCGCAAGGUUUAAAGCAGGAAGGUGGCAUCUCCUACAUCUACACUGUCCAAUACAGCAGCCACCCACCACCUGAGCCCACUGGGCACUGGGAAUGUGGCGGACCCGGGCUGAGAUGUGCUUUUAGUAUAAAAUGCACACUAGCUUUUAAAGACUUAGGAAAAAAGACAAUGGAAACCAUCUGUUUAAGAACUGUUCACAUGUGAUUACAUGCUGAAAUUCGGUUUUAGAUGUAACUGGAUUAUAUAAAAUAUAUUAUUAAAAUUAACUUCACCUGUU
Long non-coding RNA from Camelus dromedarius (Arabian camel), 2916 nucleotides. RefSeq lists it as uncharacterized. The record is from RefSeq and is a predicted model, not a curated record. NCBI's taxonomy places the organism in Eukaryota, Metazoa, Chordata, Mammalia, Artiodactyla, Camelidae. The transcript has 2 exons.